Sitophilus oryzae (rice weevil) is the source of this 400-nucleotide long non-coding RNA. RefSeq lists it as uncharacterized. The transcript is spliced from 3 exons. The record is from RefSeq and is a predicted model, not a curated record. NCBI's taxonomy places the organism in Eukaryota, Metazoa, Arthropoda, Insecta, Coleoptera, Curculionidae.
CUUACAUUUUUCGAUCGUCAUUUGUUUUUUUGACUAUUCCAUGGCCUUUUCGAUUUUAUUUUAAUUAUUUUCUGUUAAAAAUAGAAACUCGGUCUGGUAAGAUGUCACGAAGUCUACGAAGACAUAUUUUAUCUGUUAACUGAUAGUACUGAUAGUAGCAACUGUAACAUGUAACAUCGUAUUAUACAAGAGCACUGGAUAUUAAGAAUUCAAGAAGGUCACUUUGAAAUCUGAAGAAUUCCACUACCUACCUGUUUGAAGAUCCAUGGCAAUAUACCUGUUGAUUUUUAUUUUAUAAUAAAUGCUUUGAUAUAUUUGUAGUAGUUAUUAAUAUUAGUUAAUUUCGUACACUUAAUAUUGUAGCCAUAUAAUAGCAUAUUAAUAAAUAAAUAAUAAUUUC